Molecule: ribosomal RNA, 684 nt
Filed under: uncultured Sphingobacteriia bacterium
Lineage: Bacteria; Pseudomonadati; Bacteroidota; Sphingobacteriia
Description: bacterial SSU rRNA
Rfam family: Bacterial small subunit ribosomal RNA
Source: RNAcentral
GAGUUUGAUCCUGGCUCAGGAUGAACGCUAGCGGGAGGCUUAAUACAUGCAAGUCGAGGGGCAGCAUAGGACUUCGGUUCUGAUGGCGACCGGCGCACGGGUGAGUAACGCGUACACUACCUACCUUUAACAGAGGGAUAGCCCUGGGAAACUGGGAUUAAUACCACAUAGUAUUGCAUAUUUUAUUUUUAUGCAAUUAAAGCUCCGGCGGUUAAAGAUGGGUGUGCGUUAGAUUAGCUAGUUGGUAAGGUAAUGGCUUACCAAGGCUACGAUCUAUAGGGGGCGUGAGAGCGUGGACCCCCACACGGGUACUGAGACACGGACCCGACUCCUACGGGAGGCAGCAGUAAGGAAUAUUGGACAAUGGGCGCAAGCCUGAUCCAGCCAUCCCGCGUGAAGGAUGACGGCCCUAUGGGUUGUAAACUUCUUUUAUUAGGGAAGAAACCUUUUCAUUUAUGAAGAGCUGACGGUACCUAAAGAAUAAGCACCGGCUAACUCCGUGCCAGCAGCCGCGGUAAUACGGAGGGUGCAAGCGUUAUCCGGAAUCACUGGGUUUAAAGGGUGCGUAGGCGGAUAAAUAAGUCAGAGGUGAAAGCUUUCCGCUUAACGGGAAAAUUGCCUUUGAAACUGUUUAUCUUGAAUUAUGUUGAGGUUAGCGGAAUGUGACAUGUAGCGGUGAAAUGC